This 494-nucleotide ribosomal RNA is filed under the name uncultured bacterium. Its description in RNAcentral is "partial 16S ribosomal RNA". It matches the Rfam family "Bacterial small subunit ribosomal RNA", at positions 28 to 507 of the family's 1533-position model. The record is from RNAcentral.
GACGAACGCUGGCGGCGUGCUUAACACAUGCAAGUCGAACGGUGAAGCGCCUUCCUUUUUGGUGGGUGUGGAUGAGUGGCGAACGGGUGAGUAACACGUGAGUAACCUGCCCCCUUCUUCUGGAUAACCGCAUGAAAGUGUGGCUAAUACGGGAUAUUCUGGGUCUGUCGCAUGAUGGGUCUGGGAAAGAUAUUGUUUCGGUGGGGGAUGGGCUCGCGGCCUAUCAGCUUGUUGGUGGGGUGAUGGCCUACCAAGGCGGUGACGGGUAGCCGGCACGAGAGGGUGGACGGUCACACUGGGACUGAGACACGGCCCAGACUCCUACGGGAGGCAGCAGUGGGGAAUAUUGCACAAUGGGCGCAAGCCUGAUGCAGCGACGCCGCGUGAGGGAUGGAGGCCUUCGGGUUGUGAACCUCUUUCGCCAGUGAAGCAGGCCUGCCUCGUUUGUGGGUGGGUUGACGGUAGCUGGAGAAGAAGCGCCGGCUAACUACGUG